UGAAUACGAGAUGCUACGGCGUCGAAGCAGUGUAUGUCAGACUUCCAAGAAAAGCUCGCAAUGUCAUAAAUAAAGAAUGCCUGUACCAUAACCGACACAGGUGGGUAGGUAGAGUAUACUAAGGGGCGCGAGAUAACUCUCUCUAAGGAACUCGGCAAAAUAACUCCGUAACUUCGGGAGAAGGAGUGCCUUCUUUAAGAAGGUUGCAAUAACAAGAUCCAAGCAACUGUUUAUCAAAAACACAGGUCUCCGCUAAGUCGUAAGACGAUGUAUGGGGGCUGACGCCUGCCCAGUGCCAGAAGGUUAAAGAAGCUGGUUAGCAAUAGCGAAGCUGGUGACUGAAGCCCUGGUGAACGGCGGCCGUAACUAUAACGGUCCUAAGGUAGCGAAAUUCCUUGUCGGGUAAGUUCCGACCCGCACGAAAGGCGUAAUGAUUUGGAUACUGUCUCGGAGAGGGACUCGGUGAAAUAGACUUGUCUGUGAAGAUGCGGACUACCUGCACCAGGACAGAAAGACCCUAUGAAGCUUUACUGUAACCUGAAAUUGAAAUUGGACUUUAUUUGCGCAGUAUAGGUGGGAGGCGUUGAAAGUAAUCUUGCGGGAUUAGUGGAGCCAUCAGUGAGAUACCACUCCUAUAAUGUUAGAUUUCUAACUUUGGAUCAUGAUCUGGUCAAAGAACAGUUUCAGGCGGGCAGUUUGACUGGGGCGGUCGCCUCCCAAAUGGUAACGGAGGCGUACAAAGGUUUCCUCUGAACGGGUAGAAAUCGUAUCUAGAGUGUAAAGGCAUAAGGAAGCUUGACUGUGAGACCUACAAGUCGAGCAGGGACGAAAGUCGGUCUUAGUGAUCUGACGGUGCUGAGUGGAAAGGCCGUCACUCAACGGAUAAAAGUUACUCUAAGGAUAACAGGCUGAUCUCCCCCAAGAGUUCACAUCGACGGGGAGGUUUGGCACCUCGAUGUCGGCUCAUCGCAUCCUGGGGCGGUAGUACGUCCCAAGGGUUGGGCUGUUCGCCCAUGAAAGCGGUACGCGAGCUGGGUUCAGAACGUCGUGAGACAGUUCGGUCCAUAUCCGGUGUAGGCGUUAGAAUAUUGAGAGGAGCCUUCUCUAGUACGAGAGGACCGAGAAGGACAUACCUCUGGUGUACCAGUUAUCGUGCCAACGGUAAACGCUGGGUAGCUAUGUAUGGAGAGGAUAACCGCUGAAAGCAUCUAAGUGGGAAGCCCACCUCAAGAUGAGUAUUCUCAC
Molecule: ribosomal RNA, 1245 nt
Filed under: metagenome
Description: bacterial LSU rRNA
Rfam family: Bacterial large subunit ribosomal RNA
Source: RNAcentral